CAUUAGAUGGCUGAAAGCAAGCAAUGGUCUCUUAAACCACAUCAUAGUAAAAUAGCUAUUACUUCUAAUGA
This 71-nucleotide transfer RNA is filed under the name Scolytinae sp. BMNH 1274292. Its description in RNAcentral is "tRNA-Lys". The record is from RNAcentral. Lineage: Eukaryota; Metazoa; Arthropoda; Insecta; Coleoptera; Curculionidae.